CGACGUGGAAACCAACAUAUCAGCAAUGAUGAUAUGAGAUUUUUUCGUCGCAAGUUAGAUAUUAUGAAACGUGAUGAGCUUGUGUGGGAGCCUUACACAACAAUCGUUAUAUCAUUGUUGCCUCCCAUUUGUGUACUCGGAAGUGUCGCGUGGUGCGCGGUGGUGCUCGGAAUCAGAAUGUGGAAUUUGAAGUUAUACCAUCCUCCUAUUUAAACAAAAACUACACAAGCCAUUAUUAAAGCAUGCCCGUGAAGCCAAUUUUCUCCAAAGUCUUCUGGCCACUGUAUCCAUGUGAACCUUGCACAGCUGCAAUGCAUGUGACCCUUACACAACUGCACAACUAGCCUGCAAAUGGUUCAACUCUAUUCUGCAUGAUUCAGCCCUAGCUGCAUGCAUGAUUCAGCCCUAGCUACAUGCAAAUGGCUUACGAACAAUGCCCUAAGCUGUCUCGCAGGAAGCAAUGGCGGCACUGCUUGUCAAUGGUUCUCGCAAGAUGCACUGGCGAGUUUCAUGCAUACGUGGGAGGCUUCUCGCCAGUGGUGCUGGCGACACACCCACGUCACCAUGCAUCUCGCCAGUUGUGCUGGCGGCACACGUACCAUGCAGCCACAUCACGAAGCUUCUCGCCAUUGAUAAUGGCGGCACACCUAUCUCGCCAACCCUGCUGGCGGCAUCAACGUAAGAAGAGACCCCCUUCGUAAAUACUUAGAAAAGGGAUCCCUUUACGUAAAUAGUUUGUAAAGGGGACCCUCUAUAGUAAAUUUCCCGCUCUUAGUCUUAGAUUCUCCGUGUCAACAUAAUAUGAAAC
Long non-coding RNA from Glycine soja, 808 nucleotides. RefSeq lists it as uncharacterized. The record is from RefSeq and is a predicted model, not a curated record. The transcript is spliced from 3 exons. Lineage: Eukaryota; Viridiplantae; Streptophyta; Magnoliopsida; Fabales; Fabaceae.